Molecule: long non-coding RNA, 381 nt
Filed under: Numida meleagris (helmeted guineafowl)
Lineage: Eukaryota; Metazoa; Chordata; Aves; Galliformes; Numididae
Description: lncRNA (ENSNMEG00000018671.1)
Source: RNAcentral
GGGCGGGACUAGGCUGAAGCAGCCAGUCGGAGCGCGAGAGCUGGAGCGCGCAAGGAGACCUAGCCAAUCGAAAAUGCGUCCUGCUCCACGUGCCGGGGCCGCUGUCUUAAAGUGACAGGCAGCAAUUUUUCGGGGCUGUACGGCUGUGGGAGCGAGCGGGGGACAAAUCUGAGCUCCAGCUUAUCUUUCUUUCACUUGCACAAAUAAGAAAUGGGGAGCAGCUAUUGGAUUCCAGUAGGCCAGACUGAGGACUUUGCUUCUAGUAACAGGCUGUCCUGCAAGGAAAGAAAAAGAGUACUGCAUCAAGGUUGCGAGGAAAAUGGCCAGUGGGUUCAGUGGUUGUUGGUGGGCAGGACAGAUACUUUGACAUGUGGCAGAUGA